GCGGAAGUUUUCGGAUGGAAGCAAUAAACCUUAGCGGCGGACGGGUGAGUAACGCGUGGGUAACCUGCCUCAUACAGGGGGAUAACAGUUAGAAAUGACUGCUAAAACCGCAUAAGCGCACAUUGUCGAGUGACAGAGUGUGAAAAACUCCGGUGGUAUGAGAUGGACCCGCGUCUGAUUAGCUAGUUGGUGAGGUAACGGCCCACCAAGGCGACGAUCAGUAGCCGGCCUGAGAGGGCGACCGGCCACAUUGGGACUGAGACACGGCCCAAACUCCUACGGGAGGCAGCAGUGGGGAAUAUUGCACAAUGGGGGAAACCCUGAUGCAGCGACGCCGCGUGAGUGAAGAAGUAUUUCGGUAUGUAAAGCUCUAUCAGCAGGGAAGAAGAAAGACGGUACCUGACUAAGAAGCCCCGGCUAACUACGUGCCAGCAGCCGCGGUAAUACGUAGGGGGCAAGCGUUAUCCGGAUUUACUGGGUGUAAAGGGAGCGUAGACGGCUGUGCAAGUCUGAAGUGAAAGCCCAGGGCUCAACCCUGGGACUGCUUUGGAAACUGUGGAGCUAGAGUGCUGGAGAGGUAAGUGGAAUUCCUAGUGUAGCGGUGAAAUGCGUAGAUAUUAGGAGGAACACCAGUGGCGAAGGCGGCUUACUGGACAGUAACUGACGUUGAGGCUCGAAAGCGUGGGGAGCAAACAGGAUUAGAUACCCUGGUAGUCCACGCGGUAAACGAUGAAUACUAGGUGUUGGAGAGCAAAGCUUUUCGGUGCCGUCGCAAACGCAAUAAGUAUUCCACCUGGGGAGUACGUUCGCAAGAAUGAAACUCAAAGGAAUUGACGGGGACCCGCACAAGCGGUGGAGCAUGUGGUUUAAU
Molecule: ribosomal RNA, 871 nt
Filed under: uncultured bacterium
Lineage: Bacteria
Description: bacterial SSU rRNA
Rfam family: Bacterial small subunit ribosomal RNA
Source: RNAcentral